This 557-nucleotide ribosomal RNA is filed under the name Mantophryne cf. lateralis LAO-2013. Its description in RNAcentral is "partial 12S ribosomal RNA". The stretch from base 1 to 459 matches the Rfam family "Bacterial small subunit ribosomal RNA", at positions 877 to 1533 of the family's 1533-position model. Lineage: Eukaryota; Metazoa; Chordata; Amphibia; Anura; Microhylidae. The record is from RNAcentral.
AAAUUACGAGCCCAAGCUUAAAACCCAAAGGACUUGACGGUGUUCCACCCACCUAGAGGAGCCUGUUCUAUAAUCGAUUUUCCCCGAUCAACCCCACCAUCUUUUGAAUACUCAGCCUGUAUACCUCCGUCGCAAGCUUACCCUAUGAAUGCACUUAGUGAGCCCAAUGAUUUAACACCCACACGUCAGGUCAAGGUGCAGCCCACAAGAUGGAAAGAAAUGGGCUACAAUUUCUACCCUAGAACAAACGAAAGACUACAUGAAACACAGCCACUGAAGGCGGAUUUAGUAGUAAAAAGAAAAUAGAGAGUUCUUUUUAAUCAGGCACUGGAACGCGUACACACCGCCCGUCACCCUCUUCAAACACAAAUAUUAUGUUAUUGACACCACACACAAAACAGAAGAGGUAAGUCGUAACACGGUAAGCGUACUGGAAAGUGCGCUUGGAAUAACAAAAUGUAACUUAAUAAAAGUAUCUUGCUUACACCAAGAACAUGUCUGUGAAACCCCGACCAUCUUGAGCUUAAAGCCCAGCCCCACUAAACUUAAUGAAACCA